UUACUUUGCUAUUAGAAUAAA
RNAcentral lists this non-coding RNA (21 nucleotides) under Caenorhabditis elegans. The record is from RNAcentral. Lineage: Eukaryota; Metazoa; Nematoda; Chromadorea; Rhabditida; Rhabditidae.